RNAcentral lists this ribosomal RNA (253 nucleotides) under uncultured bacterium. RNAcentral describes it as "partial 16S ribosomal RNA". It matches the Rfam family "Bacterial small subunit ribosomal RNA", at positions 524 to 776 of the family's 1533-position model. The record is from RNAcentral.
UACAGAGGGUGCAAGCGUUGUUCGGAAUUACUGGGCGUAAAGCGCGUGUAGGCGGCUAGAAAAGUCAGAUGUGAAAUCCCUAGGCUUAACCAAGGAACUGCAUUUGAUACUGUCUAGCUUGAGUUUUGGAGGGGGUGGUGGAAUUCCUAGUGUAGAGGUAAAAUUCGUAGAUAUUAGGAGGAACACCAGUGGCGAAGGCGACCACCUGGACAAAAACUGACGCUGAGACGCGAAAGCAUGGGUAGCAAACAGG